GCUGAUAGCCCUACUGCCAUGAACACAUCAGAUCUCAUCUGAUCUCUGAAGCUAAGCAGGGUCAUGCUUGGUUAGUAUUGACUGGGAGCAGGUCAUCUACUAACUAGAUCAGGGGUGUCAAAC
RNAcentral lists this ribosomal RNA (123 nucleotides) under Oreochromis niloticus (Nile tilapia). RNAcentral also lists the same sequence under 1 other name. Lineage: Eukaryota; Metazoa; Chordata; Actinopteri; Cichliformes; Cichlidae. The record is from RNAcentral.